AUCCAGCUGACGAGUUCAAAAUAGGAGGAACAGCGCGUCCUGGAU
This 45-nucleotide non-coding RNA is filed under the name Schistosoma mattheei. The record is from RNAcentral. Lineage: Eukaryota; Metazoa; Platyhelminthes; Trematoda; Strigeidida; Schistosomatidae.